UGCAGUCGAGCGGACAGAUGGGAGCUUGCUCCCUGAUGUUAGCGGCGGACGGGUGAGUAACACGUGGGUAACCUGCCUGUAAGACUGGGAUAACUCCGGGAAACCGGGGCUAAUACCGGAUGCUUGUUUGAACCGCAUGGUUCAGACAUAAAAGGUGGCUUCGGCUACCACUUACAGAUGGACCCGCGGCGCAUUAGCUAGUUGGUGAGGUAACGGCUCACCAAGGCGACGAUGCGUAGCCGACCUGAGAGGGUGAUCGGCCACACUGGGACUGAGACACGGCCCAGACUCCUACGGGAGGCAGCAGUAGGGAAUCUUCCGCAAUGGACGAAAGUCUGACGGAGCAACGCCGCGUGAGUGAUGAAGGUUUUCGGAUCGUAAAGCUCUGUUGUUAGGGAAGAACAAGUGCCGUUCAAAUAGGGCGGCACCUUGACGGUACCUAACCAGAAAGCCACGGCUAACUACGUGCCAGCAGCCGCGGUAAUACGUAGGUGGCAAGCGUUGUCCGGAAUUAUUGGGCGUAAAGGGCUCGCAGGCGGUUUCUUAAGUCUGAUGUGAAAGCCCCCGGCUCAACCGGGGAGGGUCAUUGGAAACUGGGGAACUUGAGUGCAGAAGAGGAGAGUG
Molecule: ribosomal RNA, 624 nt
Filed under: Bacillus subtilis
Lineage: Bacteria; Bacillati; Bacillota; Bacilli; Caryophanales; Bacillaceae
Description: bacterial SSU rRNA
Rfam family: Bacterial small subunit ribosomal RNA
Source: RNAcentral